This 253-nucleotide ribosomal RNA is filed under the name uncultured bacterium. RNAcentral describes it as "partial 16S ribosomal RNA". It matches the Rfam family "Bacterial small subunit ribosomal RNA", at positions 524 to 776 of the family's 1533-position model. The record is from RNAcentral.
GACGUAGGAUGCAAGCGUUGUCCGGAUUUAUUGGGCGUAAAGAGUUCGUAGGCGGUUUGUUAAGUUCGAUGUUAAAGAUCAGGGCUCAACCCUGAGAGUGCGUUGAAUACUGACAGACUCGAGUGCGGUAGAGGUAAGUGGAAUUUCUGGUGUAGCGGUGAAAUGCGUAGAUAUCAGAAAGAACACCGGUGGCGUAAGCGACUUACUGGGCCGUAACUGACGCUGAGGAACGAAAGCCAGGGGAGCAAAUGGG